GAUGAACGCUGGCGGCGUGCCUAAUACAUGCAAGUCGAGCGAACAGACGAGGAGCUUGCUCCUCUGACGUCAGCGGCGGACGGGUGAGUAACACGUGGAUAACCUACCUAUAAGACUGGGAUAACUUCGGGAAACCGGAGCUAAUACCGGAUAAUAUAUUGAACCGCAUGGUUCAAUAGUGAAAGACGGUUUUGCUGUCACUUAUAGAUGGAUCCGCGCCGCAUUAGCUAGUUGGUAAGGUAACGGCUUACCAAGGCAACGAUGCGUAGCCGACCUGAGAGGGUGAUCGGCCACACUGGAACUGAGACACGGUCCAGACUCCUACGGGAGGCAGCAGUAGGGAAUCUUCCGCAAUGGGCGAAAGCCUGACGGAGCAACGCCGCGUGAGUGAUGAAGGUCUUCGGAUCGUAAAACUCUGUUAUUAGGGAAGAACAAAUGUGCAAGUAACUAUGCACGUCUUGACGGUACCUAAUCAGAAAGCCACGGCUAACUACGUG
RNAcentral lists this ribosomal RNA (497 nucleotides) under uncultured bacterium. RNAcentral's name for it is "partial 16S ribosomal RNA". It matches the Rfam family "Bacterial small subunit ribosomal RNA", at positions 28 to 507 of the family's 1533-position model. The record is from RNAcentral.